This 407-nucleotide ribosomal RNA is filed under the name uncultured bacterium. RNAcentral describes it as "partial 16S ribosomal RNA". It matches the Rfam family "Bacterial small subunit ribosomal RNA", at positions 28 to 526 of the family's 1533-position model. The record is from RNAcentral.
GACGAACGCUGGCGGCGUGCCUAAUACAUGCAAGUAGGACGCAGUUGCGAACGGGUGCGUAACGCGUAGGUAACUGCCUAUUAGAGGGGGAUAACUAUUGGAAACGAUAGCUAAUACCGCAUACUAGUAGAUGGACCUGCGUUGUAUUAGCUAGUAGGUAGGGUAAUGGCCUUCCUAGGCGACGCUACAUAGCCUCCCUGAGAGGGUGAUCGGCCCACUCGGGACUGAGACACGGCCCAGACUCCUACGGGAGGCAGCAGUAGGGAAUCUUCGGCAAUGGGGUGAACCCUGACCGAGCAACGCAGCGUGAGUGAAGAAGGUUUUCGGAUCGUAAAGCUCUGUUGUUAAGGAAGCGGUACUUAACCAGAAAGGGACGGCUAACUACGUGCCAGCAGCCGCGGUAAUUC